UUGACGUUUGAAUUCUUUUUUAAAUAUUUUGCAAGUGCGGCAGAAAAUCAAAUCGUAUACUUGUGCUGCUUCUUGUUCGCAAUAAACGAAACAUUUUGUUCACAAUAGAAUUCAUAAACUGCAGAGAUAGUUGCCAUAUUAAAGCGUAUGAAACAAACUUAUAGGAAAUAGUAUUCUGAGACAUUACGACCGUUGUUUAUUUAUUAACUCUUUUGCAAUAUAUGUAUUCCUGCAAGCCACUUAUCGGUUAAAUCAACGGGUUUUUAUCCAACAGCGCUAUCAAAGAUUUCUGGCCUUAUGAGUUAUGGUGCACCGUGUUCAUGUGUUAGUUUCCGCUCAAAUUCUUUCAAUGCAUUCGAGUUGCGGUAGCCGUGACUUGAUGGGAUGUUAUUAUAAUCACAUUUGUCUUUCCGUAGAUCUGAUCGGAAACAUGUGCUUCAACGAAAUUUCUUUUUACUGCUAUUGUUAUAGCGACAGAAAACUCGACCCAAAUAAUUAUGGAAAACGCUGCGAGUUGAUAUUUCUUUGCUGGAUAUAAAUCUGGGUUCAUGCCAGUUAAAUAGAACCGAUUGUCCUAUAUAGAGAAAACAUCAAAUUUAUUAAAUAAAAAAUUCGGAUCAUAAAAUCGUAUCAUAAUAAACAGCUAAU
Molecule: non-coding RNA, 648 nt
Organism: Bactrocera oleae (olive fruit fly)
Lineage: Eukaryota; Metazoa; Arthropoda; Insecta; Diptera; Tephritidae
Source: RefSeq, a predicted model, not a curated record